Molecule: long non-coding RNA, 1057 nt
Filed under: Agrilus planipennis (emerald ash borer)
Lineage: Eukaryota; Metazoa; Arthropoda; Insecta; Coleoptera; Buprestidae
Description: uncharacterized LOC108737811, transcript variant X1
Source: RNAcentral
GUCAAUGUUUAUGUGUCAAGAAGUAAAAAAAUACAAACUAUUAAUACAAAUUUCAGUUGAAGUGUAAAAAUAUCUUUAAUAAAUAGGGAAUGUUACAUGAACUGUGAAGUUUAUGUUAUGAAGCAUUGGUUGUAGAAGUUGCCUGUCCAUACCACCCUGUGGAGCUGGUAGAACUUGAAUGAGUCUUUUUUAUUGGAGUGGAAACAAUGGGAGUGAUAUCUGUUAUUAAUGGAAGGAUUCAUGAUAAUGAAGUAAGAAUGCUUUAGUGCAUCAGGACUUAACAAAACCAGCAGGAUUAGCCAGCAAUUGAGAGAUUGGAACUGAUAUCCAUCCUUUGCUUACUUAAAAGAUAAGUCGUAUCGUAUGGUGUUUUAGCUGUUAACUUUUCAUCUUGGAGGCUCUUGCAGUUAAUUAAGGGACGUUAGAAGAACUCCAGAUACAAUUAAAUUGUGUCUGUUCUCAUUGGCUCCAAAAAGUGACUGUUUUUAUGGUCAUAAAGAAAGCGUGAAAGUGCCUUUUUCCAUUGGCAACAAAGACAAUGUGCUGAAGGAGGGAUUUAUGACAAUGAACUGAUUAUCCAACGAGGGAGAAGGAAUAAGAGUUAAUUUUGAUGCUACUGGGAGGCUUGGAAGCAGCUGAAACAACAAACUGUGUGCAGUUGUAUCCUUCCUAGGUUUGGUAUGCUCAUCACACUGAUAGACUUUAGGACGCUACUUUCUACAAUUAAUUAAGGUUGUUCAACAAAUGAGAGAGAAUUAAACUGCAAUUUGGUCAUACUGGAACAGUCAAUGUCUGCAUGGGUGUUGUUUUUCGUGGACUGUAUUCUUGAUUUGCUGUUUUCGUCUUCGCCUUGCAACAUUAUUCAGUUCAUUUUCAACACAUGAGUGAAAGCAACUGGACAUUUAUUUGAAUUUCACUGAAAUAAAGAAUUUUAUGCUACUACAGUAUUCCUCCUGGAGUUGGAUUGCUUUUCCCACCUGCAAACUUUGGAACAUUACAGUUUACAGUUAAUUAAGAUCGACGUUGGAGAAGACAAAGAUGACCCCCCAGUUAAAAU